Oncorhynchus tshawytscha (Chinook salmon) is the source of this 941-nucleotide long non-coding RNA. Lineage: Eukaryota; Metazoa; Chordata; Actinopteri; Salmoniformes; Salmonidae. The record is from Ensembl.
GUGGAGGGCAGAUCCAUAGGGCAGAGUGGAGGGCAGAUCCAUAGAGGGCAGAUCCAGGGCAGAGUGGAGGGCAGAUCCAUAGGACAGAGUGGAGGGCAGAUCCAUAGGGCAGAGUGGAGGGCAGAUCCAUAGGGCAGAGUGGAGGGCAGAGUGGAGGGCAGAGGGCAGAGUGGAGGGCAGAUCCAUAGGGCAGAGUGGAGGGCAGAUCCAUAGGGCAGAGUGGAGGGCAGAGUGGAGGGCAGAUCCAUAGGGCAGAGUGGAGGGCAGAUCCAUAAGGCAGAGUGGAGGGCAGAGUGGAGGGCAGAUCCAUAGGGCAGAGUGGAGGGCAGAGUGGAGGGCAGAGGGAAGGGCAGAGUGGAGGGCAGAUCCAUAGGACAGAGUGGAGGGCAGAUCCAUAGGGCAGAGUGGAGGGCAGAUCCACAGGGCAGAGUGGAGGGCAGAUCCACAGGGCAGAGUGGAGGGCAGAGUGGAGGGCAGAUCCAUAGGGCAGAGUGGAGGGCAGAGGCAGAGUGGAGGGCAGAGUGGAGAGCAGAUCCAUAGGGCAGAGUGGAGGGCAGAUCCAUAGGGCAGAGUGGAGGGCAGAUCCAUAGGGCAGAUCCAUAGGGCAGAGUGGAGAGCAGAUCCAUAGGGCAGAGUGGAGGGCAGAUCCAUAGGGUAGAGUGGAGGGCAGAUCCAUAGGGUAGAGUGGAGGGCAGAUCCAUAGGGCAGAGUGGAGGGCAGAUCCAUAGGGCAGAGUGGAGGGCAGAUCCAUAGGGCAGAUCCAUAGGGCAGAGUGGAGGGCAGAGUGGAGGGCAGAUCCAUAGGGCAGAGUGGAGAGCAGAUCCAUAGGGUAGAGUGGAGGGCAGAUCCAUAGGGCAGAGUGGAGGGCAGAUCGGAUUCGUCAACAACAACAAAAAUAAACAAGUGCAUUCUAAAUAAACAAGUGUAUAAUCACAUAUGGG